GACGAACGCUGGCGGCGUGCUUAACACAUGCAAGUCGAACGGAAAGGCCCUGCUUUUGUGGGGUGCUCGAGUGGCGAACGGGUGAGUAACACGUGAGUAACCUGCCCUUGACUUUGGGAUAACUUCAGGAAACUGGGGCUAAUACCGGAUAGGAUCUCCUGCUGCAUGGUGGGGGUUGGAAAGUUUCGGCGGUUGGGGAUGGACUCGCGGCUUAUCAGCUUGUUGGUGGGGUAGUGGCUUACCAAGGCUUUGACGGGUAGCCGGCCUGAGAGGGUGACCGGCCACAAUAGGACUGAGAUACGGACCAGAAUCCAACGGGAGGCAGCAGUGGGGAAUAUUGCACAAUGGGCGGAAGCCUGAUGCAGCAACGUCGCGUGCGGGAUGACGGGCUUCGGGUUGUAAACCGCUUUCGACUGUGACGAAGCGUGAGUGACGGUAAUGGGUAAAGAAGCACCGGCUAACUACGUG
This 468-nucleotide ribosomal RNA is filed under the name uncultured bacterium. RNAcentral's name for it is "partial 16S ribosomal RNA". It matches the Rfam family "Bacterial small subunit ribosomal RNA", at positions 28 to 507 of the family's 1533-position model. The record is from RNAcentral.